UACGUAGGUGGCAAGCGUUGUCCGGAUUUACUGGGCGUAAAGAGCGCGCAGGCGGUCGUUCAAGUCGCGUGUGAAAGCCCCCGGCUCAACUGGGGAGGGUCACGCGAUACUGAUCGACUGGAAGGCAGGAGAGGGUAGUGGAAUUCCCGGUGUAGCGGUGAAAUGCGCAGAUAUCAGGAGGAACACCGGUGGCGUAGGUGGGUCUCUGGGCCGUAACUGACGCUGAGGAGCGAAAGCAUGGGGAGCGAACAGG
Molecule: ribosomal RNA, 253 nt
Filed under: uncultured bacterium
Lineage: Bacteria
Description: partial 16S ribosomal RNA
Rfam family: Bacterial small subunit ribosomal RNA
Source: RNAcentral